UACGCUGCCGACGGCGCUGGUUCGCCCGGCCGUACCCGGUCGGGCGUCGUAAGAGGGAACCCGGUGUGAAUCCGGGACUGCCCCGCAGCGGUGAGUGGGAACGACCGCCGUCACCACGCACUGGACCGCGAGGUCCGGGAAGCGACGGCCAGUAGGAGACCGGACUGAAUCCGGUCGCGCCCGCGAGUCCGAAGACCUGCCCGCGCUGCGUACACGAG
This 218-nucleotide non-coding RNA is filed under the name Micromonospora krabiensis. Lineage: Bacteria; Bacillati; Actinomycetota; Actinomycetes; Micromonosporales; Micromonosporaceae. The record is from RNAcentral.